Molecule: ribosomal RNA, 472 nt
Filed under: Ixodes ricinus (castor bean tick)
Lineage: Eukaryota; Metazoa; Arthropoda; Arachnida; Ixodida; Ixodidae
Description: partial 16S ribosomal RNA
Source: RNAcentral
UUCAUUUUGGGAAAUAAUAAAAUGUAUAAUCUGCUCAAUGAUUUUUUUUUUAAAUUGCUGUGGUAUUUUGACUAUACGAAGGUAUUGAAAUAAGAUUUUAAAUGAGUGCUAAGAGAAUGAUUAAACAAUUAAAAGCUUUCUUUAAUUAAAUAAUUGAAUUUAAUUUUUUAGUGCAAAAGCAAAAAUAAAAAUUAGGGACAAGAAGACCCUAUGAAUUUUUAUUAAAUUUUAUAUAAAGUUUUAUAAAAUUUAAUUUAAUUGGGGUGAUGGAAAAAGAAUAAAUAUCUUUUUUUUAAAGAAAAUUGGUUCCGUUUUUAGCGAUUAAAUGAAAAAAAUACUCUAGGGAUAACAGCGUAAUAAUUUUGGAUAGUUCAUAUAGAUAAAAUAGUUUGCGACCUCGAUGUUGGAUUAGGAUUCUUUUUUGGUGAAGAAGUUAAAAAAAGAAGUUUGUUCAACUUAUAAUUUCCUACAU